CGAACGUACACAACCUUCCUUCAAGCGGGGAAUAGCCCAGAGAAAUUUGGAUUAAUACCCAUAAAAUAUGAUAGAGGCAUCUCUACUAUAUUAAAGCUUCGGCACUUAAAGAUGGGUGUGCGUCUGAUUAGGUAGUUGGUGAGGUAACGGCUCACCAAGCCAACGAUCAGUAGCUGAUGUGAGAGCAUGAUCAGCCACACGGGCACUGAGACACGGGCCCG
This 221-nucleotide ribosomal RNA is filed under the name uncultured bacterium. RNAcentral's name for it is "partial 16S ribosomal RNA". It matches the Rfam family "Bacterial small subunit ribosomal RNA", at positions 112 to 334 of the family's 1533-position model. The record is from RNAcentral.